AAAGUUCUCCCUCAGGGCACCCAAACCCCAUUCCCUGCAAGGAAGGCCCAGCUUUUUUGGUUCCUCAAUUGCGAAACGGGUGAGUAAACCCGGGGGGGAUUUUGCCCCUGCACUUUUGGGAUAAGCCUGGGAAACUGGGUCUAAUACCGGAUAUGACCAACUGUCGCAUGGUGGUUGGUGGAAAGCUUUUGCGGUGUGGGAUGGGCCCGCGGCCUAUCAGCUUGUUGGUGGGGUAAUGGCCUACCAAGGCGACGACGGGUAGCCGACCUGAGAGGGUGAUCGGCCCACACUGGGACUGAGACACGGCCCAGACUCCUACGGGAGGCAGCAGUGGGGAAUAUUGCACAAUGGGCGCAAGCCUGAUGCAGCGACGCCGCGUGAGGGAUGACGGCCUUCGGGUUGUAAACCUCUUUCACCAGGGACGAAGCGUGAGUGACGGUACCUGGAGAAGAAGCACCGGCCAACUACGUGCCAGCAGCCGCGGUAAUACGUAGGGUGCGAGCGUUGUCCGGAAUUACUGGGCGUAAAGAGCUCGUAGGCGGUUUGUCGCGUCGUCUGUGAAAUUCUGCAACUCAAUUGCAGGCGUGCAGGCGAUACGGGCAGACUUGAGUACUACAGGGGAGACUGGAAUUCCUGGUGUAGCGGUGAAAUGCGCAGAUAUCAGGAGGAACACCGGUGGCGAAGGCGGGUCUCUGGGUAGUAACUGACGCUGAGGAGCGAAAGCGUGGGUAGCGAACAGGAUUAGAUACCCUGGUAGUCCACGCCGUAAACGGUGGGUACUAGGUGUGGGUUCCUUUUCACGGGAUCCGUGCCGUAGCUAACGCAUUAAGUACCCCGCCUGGGGAGUACGGCCGCAAGGCUAAAACUCAAAGGAAUUGACGGGGGCCCGCACAAGCGGCGGAGCAUGUGGAUUAAUUCGAUGCAACGCGAAGAACCUUACCUGGGUUUGACAUACACCAGACGCGGCUAGAGAUAGUCGUUCCCUUGUGGUUGGUGUACAGGUGGUGCAUGGCUGUCGUCAGCUCGUGUCSUGAGAUGUUGGGUUAAGUCCCGCAACGAGCGCAACCCUUGUCCUGUAUUGCCAGCGGGUUAUGCCCGGGAACUUGCAGGAAGACUGCCCGGGGUCAACUCCGAAGAAAGGUGGGGGAUGACCUUCAAGUCAUCAUGCCCCCUUAUGUCCAGGGGCUUCCCACAU
RNAcentral lists this ribosomal RNA (1195 nucleotides) under Gordonia terrae. Its description in RNAcentral is "bacterial SSU rRNA". It matches the Rfam family "Bacterial small subunit ribosomal RNA", at positions 59 to 1223 of the family's 1533-position model. Lineage: Bacteria; Bacillati; Actinomycetota; Actinomycetes; Mycobacteriales; Gordoniaceae. The record is from RNAcentral.